GUCCACGCCGUAACGAUGCGCACUAGGUGUCGGGGUAUCGACCCCUCGGUGCCGCAGCUAACGCGAUAAGUGCGCCGCCUGGGGACUACGGCCGCAAGGCUAAACUCAAGGAAUUGACGGGGCCCGCACAAGCAGCGGAGCGUGUGGUUUAAUUCGACGCAACGCGAAGAACCUUACCUGGGCUUGACAUGCGUGUGGUACGAGGCCGAAAGGUCGAGGACCCGCAAGGGAGCACGCACAGAUGCUGCAUGGCUGUCGU
Molecule: ribosomal RNA, 259 nt
Filed under: uncultured bacterium
Lineage: Bacteria
Description: partial 16S ribosomal RNA
Rfam family: Bacterial small subunit ribosomal RNA
Source: RNAcentral